UACGGAGGGUGCAAACGUUGCUCGGAAUCAUUGGGCGUAAAGCGCACGUAGGCGGCUAAGCAAGUUGGGUGUGAAAGCCCUGGGCUCAACCCAGGAAGUGCAUUCAAAACUGCUUCGCUUGAAUCUCGGAGGGGGUCAGAGAAUUCCCGGUGUAGAGGUGAAAUUCGUAGAUAUCGGGAGGAAUACCAGUGGCGAAGGCGCUGACCUGGACGAAGAUUGACGCUGAGGUGCGAAAGCGCGGGGAGCAAACAGG
Molecule: ribosomal RNA, 253 nt
Filed under: uncultured bacterium
Lineage: Bacteria
Description: partial 16S ribosomal RNA
Rfam family: Bacterial small subunit ribosomal RNA
Source: RNAcentral